This 208-nucleotide ribosomal RNA is filed under the name uncultured delta proteobacterium. Its description in RNAcentral is "partial 16S ribosomal RNA". It matches the Rfam family "Bacterial small subunit ribosomal RNA", at positions 568 to 774 of the family's 1533-position model. Lineage: Bacteria; Deltaproteobacteria. The record is from RNAcentral.
CGCGUAGGCGGUUUUACAAGUCAGAUGUGAAAGCCCAUGGCUCAACCAUGGACGUGCAUUUGAAACUGUAAGACUUGAGUAUUGGAGGGGGGUGGUGGAAUUCCCGGUGUAGAGGUGAAAUUCGUAGAUAUCGGGAGGAAUACCAGUGGCGAAGGCGACCACCUGGCCAAAUACUGACGCUCAUGUGCGAAAGCGUGGGGAGCAAACA